AGUGAACGCUGGCGGUAGGCCUAACACAUGCAAGUCGAACGGCAGCACAGUAAGAGCUUGCUCUUACGGGUGGCGAGUGGCGGACGGGUGAGGAAUACAUCGGAAUCUACUUUUUCGUGGGGGAUAACGUAGGGAAACUAAGCUAAUAACGGCAAAGACCUUCGGGUGAAAACAAGGGAACCUUCGAACCUGCCCGAAUGAAUGAACCGAUGUCGGAUUAGCUAGUUGGGGGGGUAAAGGCCCACCAAGGCGACGAUCCGUAGCUGGUCUGAGAGGAUGAUCAGCCACACUGGAACUGAGACACGGUCCAGACUCCUACGGGAGGCAGCAGUGGGGAAUAUUGGACAAUGGGCGCAAGCCUGAUCCAGCCAUACCGCGUGGGUGAAGAAGGCCUUCGGGUUGUAAAGCCCUUUUGUUGGGAAAGAAAAGCAGCAGGUUAAUACCCCGCUGUUCUGACGGUACCCAAAGAAUAAGCACCGGCUAACUUCGUG
RNAcentral lists this ribosomal RNA (491 nucleotides) under uncultured bacterium. RNAcentral describes it as "partial 16S ribosomal RNA". It matches the Rfam family "Bacterial small subunit ribosomal RNA", at positions 29 to 507 of the family's 1533-position model. The record is from RNAcentral.